AUUGAACGCUGGCGGCAGGCCUAACACAUGCAAGUCGAGCGGAUGAAGGGAGCUUGCUCCUGGAUUCAGCGGCGGACGGGUGAGUAAUGCCUAGGAAUCUGCCUGGUAGUGGGGGAUAACGUCCGGAAACGGGCGCUAAUACCGCAUACGUCCUGAGGGAGAAAGUGGGGGAUCUUCGGACCUCACGCUAUCAGAUUAGCCUAGGUCGGAUUAGCUAGUUGGUGGGGUAAAGGCCUACCAAGGCGACGAUCCGUAACUGGUCUGAGAGGAUGAUCAGUCACACUGGAACUGAGACACGGUCCAGACCCCUAAGGGAGGGAGCAGUGGGGAAUAUUGGACAGUGGGCGAAAGCCUGAUCCAGCCAUGCCGCGUGUGUGAAGAAGGUCUUCGGAUUGUAAAGCACUUUAAGUUGGGAGGAAGGGCAGUAAGUUAGUACCUUGCUGUUUUGACGUUACCAACAGAAUAAGCACCGGCUAACUUCGUG
Molecule: ribosomal RNA, 484 nt
Filed under: uncultured bacterium
Lineage: Bacteria
Description: partial 16S ribosomal RNA
Rfam family: Bacterial small subunit ribosomal RNA
Source: RNAcentral